UUUGUGACAGCUGUCCUAUCCGCGAGAAUGUGGACUGUUUGACUAGGCUACAUGCCUACCUGGUGGAAAUCCAAGGAGGGUCUCAUUUACCUCACUGAGCAGAAUACGCGAGGAUAGCCGCAGUUUUCCGGGCAUUCUGGACCACCCUGAGACACAGCAUCAGAGGGGUCCCUCAUCAUGAUGCAGAGACAUUGCCACUGUCUGUUGAAGAGACUGACCCUUUUCAUGGAAGCUCAGUACAGCCUUUCGUGGAUGUGUAACCUGUGUGGUUCAGCCCUGCACACGCCCGGACUCGAACCUGCAAAAGAGCAGCACCUUGAAUUGGGAGUCGAGCGUGCUGACAAUCGAACUAAAAGCCCAGGCUGCUAGCUUUCAUGCCAGCAGCACUUUUGAGGCAUCGGAGAGUGAGGCUUACCAAGCUACCAAGCUAAGCUAGCUGGCAUCCGUUACAGAUGCAGAGGCUAAAACAAGUGCCUUCCCACAUCCUUAUAACGGAGUUCCCACUCAUUUCCAUUGAGAACAUUUCAAACCUCUUUACCAACAAGAACCUACACAUGGGUGUACACAAAAUUGGUCCAGAUUUUGAGCUCAAUUGUUGAAGGAGAAGUAAACCAUAAGCUAUUCCUAUUAGGUUGUGUGAAAUUAAGUGGAAACUAUCACAUUGCAGAAAGUUGCACAACAUAACGUUUUCGUGGAAACUACUGGCUGCAUGAGAGGGGAUCCUGUAUGACUAUUUCAAGCAGCGGUGCUAGGCAUGAGCCUCAUGAGCUUCACAACUCAGCUGGCUGGGCUGAACCCAUGAACUUUUACUCCAGCUAUGUUCCUGAAGGGCAUUUCCUGCCAAGCCUUAGUGGACACGGGGUUCCACCAUCUCUCUUUUUCGUCCCGGAACACUGCCCUAGACUGAAGAACCUUCUAUAUAGGCCUACUAUACUACUAUACUAUACUAUA
Long non-coding RNA from Alosa sapidissima (American shad), 951 nucleotides. RefSeq lists it as uncharacterized. The transcript has 3 exons. The record is from RefSeq and is a predicted model, not a curated record. Lineage: Eukaryota; Metazoa; Chordata; Actinopteri; Clupeiformes; Clupeidae.